UGAACCUGGUCCUCCUGGCCCACCCGGACCGCCUGGGAAUGAUGGAAAACCAGGUAUUGGUCAUCCUGGUCCUCCUGGUAAAAAAGGUGAACCGGGAAGCUUUGUACCCACUUCAGAAACCUUCUUUGCUGGACCGCCUGGGCCUCCUGGACCUAUUGGACCAAA
Long non-coding RNA from Carassius auratus (goldfish), 165 nucleotides. RefSeq lists it as uncharacterized. Lineage: Eukaryota; Metazoa; Chordata; Actinopteri; Cypriniformes; Cyprinidae. The transcript has 3 exons. The record is from RefSeq and is a predicted model, not a curated record.